CCUACGGGAGGCAGCAGUGAGGAAUAUUGGUCAAUGGGCGAGAGCCUGAACCAGCCAAGUCGCGUGAGUGAAGACGUUCCUAUGUAUUGUACACCUCUUUUGUCGGGGAGCAAAACGUCCUCGUGAGGCCACAAGUUAGAGUACCCGAAUAAAAAGCAUCUGCUAACUCCGUGCCAGCAGCCGCGGUAGUACGGAGGAUGCGAGCUGUAUCCUGAUUUAGUGGGUUUAAAGGGUGCGUAGGCGGACUGGAAAGUCAGCGGUAAAAUCGAGAGGCUCAACCUCUUUCCGACGGGGAAACUGUCGGUCGUGAGUGGGCGAGAAGUAUGCGGAAUGAGUGGUGUAGCGGUGAAAGGCAUAGAUAUCACGCAGAACUCCGAUUGCGAAGGCAGCAUACCGGCGCCCGACUGACGCUGAGGCACGAAAGCGUGGGUAUCGAACAGGAUUAGAUACCCCAGUAGUC
This 460-nucleotide ribosomal RNA is filed under the name uncultured bacterium. RNAcentral describes it as "partial 16S ribosomal RNA". It matches the Rfam family "Bacterial small subunit ribosomal RNA", at positions 338 to 795 of the family's 1533-position model. The record is from RNAcentral.